CAGCACCUCAAGUGGUCAGGAUGAUUAUUGGGCCUAAAGCAUCCGUAGCUUGCUUUGUCAGUUUUCGGUUAAAUCCAUACGCUCAACGUAUGGGCUGCCGGGAAUACUGCAAGGCUAGGGAGUGGGAGAGGUAGACGGUACUCGGUAGGAAAGGGUAAAAUCCUUUGAUCUAUUGAUGACCACCUGUGGCGAAGGCGGUCUACCAGAACACGUCCGACGGUGAGGGAUGAAAGCUGGGGGAGCAAACCGGAUUAGAUACCCGAGUAGUCC
This 270-nucleotide ribosomal RNA is filed under the name uncultured archaeon. Its description in RNAcentral is "partial 16S ribosomal RNA". It matches the Rfam family "Archaeal small subunit ribosomal RNA", at positions 477 to 747 of the family's 1478-position model. The record is from RNAcentral.